Molecule: ribosomal RNA, 1369 nt
Filed under: Curtobacterium flaccumfaciens
Lineage: Bacteria; Bacillati; Actinomycetota; Actinomycetes; Micrococcales; Microbacteriaceae
Description: 16S ribosomal RNA
Rfam family: Bacterial small subunit ribosomal RNA
Source: RNAcentral
AGUCGAACGAUGAUGCCCAGCUUGCUGGGUGGAUUAGUGGCGAACGGGUGAGUAACACGUGAGUAACCUGCCCCUGACUCUGGGAUAAGCGUUGGAAACGACGUCUAAUACUGGAUAUGAUCACUGGCCGCAUGGUCUGGUGGUGGAAAGAUUUUUUGGUUGGGGAUGGACUCGCGGCCUAUCAGCUUGUUGGUGAGGUAAUGGCUCACCAAGGCGACGACGGGUAGCCGGCCUGAGAGGGUGACCGGCCACACUGGGACUGAGACACGGCCCAGACUCCUACGGGAGGCAGCAGUGGGGAAUAUUGCACAAUGGGCGAAAGCCUGAUGCAGCAACGCCGCGUGAGGGAUGACGGCCUUCGGGUUGUAAACCUCUUUUAGUAGGGAAGAAGCGAAAGUGACGGUACCUGCAGAAAAAGCACCGGCUAACUACGUGCCAGCAGCCGCGGUAAUACGUAGGGUGCAAGCGUUGUCCGGAAUUAUUGGGCGUAAAGAGCUCGUAGGCGGUUUGUCGCGUCUGCUGUGAAAUCCCGAGGCUCAACCUCGGGCUUGCAGUGGGUACGGGCAGACUAGAGUGCGGUAGGGGAGAUUGGAAUUCCUGGUGUAGCGGUGGAAUGCGCAGAUAUCAGGAGGAACACCGAUGGCGAAGGCAGAUCUCUGGGCCGUAACUGACGCUGAGGAGCGAAAGCAUGGGGAGCGAACAGGAUUAGAUACCCUGGUAGUCCAUGCCGUAAACGUUGGGCGCUAGAUGUAGGGACCUUUCCACGGUUUUCUGUGUCGUAGCUAACGCAUUAAGCGCCCCGCCUGGGGAGUACGGCCGCAAGGCUAAAACUCAAAGGAAUUGACGGGGGCCCGCACAAGCGGCGGAGCAUGCGGAUUAAUUCGAUGCAACGCGAAGAACCUUACCAAGGCUUGACAUACACCGGAAACGGCCAGAGAUGGUCGCCCCCUUGUGGUCGGUGUACAGGUGGUGCAUGGUUGUCGUCAGCUCGUGUCGUGAGAUGUUGGGUUAAGUCCCGCAACGAGCGCAACCCUCGUUCUAUGUUGCCAGCGGGUUAUGCCGGGGACUCAUAGGAGACUGCCGGGGUCAACUCGGAGGAAGGUGGGGAUGACGUCAAAUCAUCAUGCCCCUUAUGUCUUGGGCUUCACGCAUGCUACAAUGGCCGGUACAAAGGGCUGCGAUACCGUAAGGUGGAGCGAAUCCCAAAAAGCCGGUCUCAGUUCGGAUUGAGGUCUGCAACUCGACCUCAUGAAGUCGGAGUCGCUAGUAAUCGCAGAUCAGCAACGCUGCGGUGAAUACGUUCCCGGGCCUUGUACACACCGCCCGUCAAGUCAUGAAAGUCGGUAACACCCGAAGCCGGUGGCCUAAC